This 478-nucleotide ribosomal RNA is filed under the name Moesziomyces bullatus. RNAcentral's name for it is "LSU rRNA". It matches the Rfam family "Eukaryotic large subunit ribosomal RNA", at positions 80 to 559 of the family's 3401-position model. Lineage: Eukaryota; Fungi; Basidiomycota; Ustilaginomycetes; Ustilaginales; Ustilaginaceae. The record is from RNAcentral.
CUAGUAACGGCGAGUGAAGAGGGAAGAGCCCAAGAUUGAAAGCUGGCGUCUUCGGCGUCCGCAUUGUAAUCUCAAGAAGUGUUUUCCGCUUCGGACCAAGCCUAAGUCCCUUGGAAAAGGGCAUCAUAGAGGGUGAUAAUCCCGUACAUGGCUUGGAGCGCCCGAAGCUUUGUGAUACGCUUUCUAAGAGUCGAGUUGUUUGGGAAUGCAGCUCAAAAUGGGUGGUAAAUGCCAUCUAAGGCUAAAUAUUGGGGAGAGACCGAUAGCGAACAAGUACAGUGAUGGAAAGAUGAAAAGAACUUUGAAAAGAGAGUUAAACAGUACGUGAAAUUGCCAAAAGGGAAGGGUAGGAGGUCAGAGAUGCGGCCUGGGAUUCAGCCUUGCUUUUGCUUGGUGUUUUUCCCAGAUUGCAGGCCAACGUCGGUUUUGGGCACUGGAGAAGGGUAGGAGGAACGUGGCACCUCUCGGGGUGUGUUAU